CCUACGGGAGGCAGCAGUGGGGGAUAUUGCACAAUGGGGGAAACCCUGAUGCAGCGACGCCGCGUGUGGGAAGACGGUCCUCUGGAUUGUAAACCACUGUCCCCAGGGACGAAGAUGACGGUACCUGGGGAGGAAGCUCCGGCUAACUACGUGCCAGCAGCCGCGGUAAUACGUAGGGAGCGAGCGUUGUCCGGAAUUACUGGGUGUAAAGGGAGCGUAGGCGGGACUGCAAGUUGGGUGUCAAAUCUACCGGCUCAACCGGUAGCCGCACUCAAAACUGCAGUUCUUGAGUGAAGUAGAGGCAGGCGGAAUUCCUAGGGUAGCGGUGAAAGGCGUAGAUAUUAGGAGGAACACCAGUGGCGAAGGCGGCCUGCUGGGCUUUUACUGACGCUGAGGCUCGAAAGUGUGGGGAGCAAACAGGAGUAGAUACCCUAGUAGGC
RNAcentral lists this ribosomal RNA (440 nucleotides) under uncultured bacterium. RNAcentral describes it as "partial 16S ribosomal RNA". It matches the Rfam family "Bacterial small subunit ribosomal RNA", at positions 338 to 795 of the family's 1533-position model. The record is from RNAcentral.